GGGCUCCUGAGGAAUGGGGAAGGGAAAGACCACGUUGACCACUCAGUAUGGUCUCAAGCACAGUACAUCUGCACCCUCUCAACGUUGGGAGUGGGAUCGUCCGGCUCAGGCUGGGGGUUCCGCCUUCUGCCCCUCCCAACUCUGGAACUCUGUCACCCAGGGACACCCAAAUGCGGCCGUUACCUGAGAGCCGCCGGCAAAAAGAACGAUUGGGAAGCUGAGGGAGAUUUGACUGCAGAAGAGAAGGAAUGUGAUGACAGGAUCAGCUUUGAAGACGGAGAAAGGACCCAUAAUCCGGCGGCCACUAUAAGCUGAAAAAGGUAAGGAUACCAUCAACAAAACGAAAAGACAACCUACAGAAUGGGAGAAAAUAUUUGCAAAUGAUCGACCUACAAGGGACUAAUUUUCAAAAUAUACAAGCAGCUCAUACACCUUAACAUCAAAAAAACAAGCAACCCAAUCCAAAAAUGGUCAGAAGACCUAAAUAGAUAUCUCUCCAAAGAAGACAGACGGAUGGCCAACAAGCACAUGAAAAGAUGCUCAACAUCACUAAUUGUUAGAGAAAUGCAAAUCAAAGCUACAAUGAGAUAUCACCUCACACCAGCCAGAAUGGCCGUCAUUAAAAAGUCUACAAACGAUAAAUGCUAGAUAGGGUGUGGAUAAAAAGGAACCCUCCUACCCUGUUGGUGGGAAUGUAAAUUGGUGCAGCCACUAUGGAGGACAGUAUGGAGGUCACUUAAAAAACUAAAAAUAGACCUAUCAUAUGAUCCAGCAAUUCCACUCCUGGACAUGUACCCAGAGAAAAAUAUAAUUUAAAAAGACACAUGCACCCCAGUGUUCAUAGCAGCAUUAGUUACAACAGCCAAGACCUGGAAACAACCCAAAUGUCCAUCAACAGAUGACUGGAUAAAGAAGAUGUAGUAUAUAUAUAUACCAAGGAAUACUACUCAGCUAUAAAUAGAAUAAAAUAAUGCCAUUUGCAGCAACAUGGAUGGACCUGGAGAUCGUCAUUCUAAGUGAAGUAAGCCAGAAAAAGAAAGAAAAAUGCCGUACAAUAUCACUUAUAUUUAGAAUCUUAAAAAAAAGGACACAAAUGAACUACUUGUUUAUAACUUAGAUGAUUAAUUUCUUGAAUAUGUGUAAGCACAUUUGACUGUUCUUUAUGAUUGGGUUACUGCAUUCUGUUGAUUCUUAUUUUGUAGUUGUCUUUAUUUCUUUGAUAACUGUGUAAGUUUAAAAGGCAAAGCUCUAAAAAAUUAAUAAAAUAAAAUACAUAGGAUAGCAAAGGAAACAAAUUAUAUCAAAACAGUUGUCUAAACACUAGAAGAAUGUGUGAUAGAGUAGUAUAUUUGCUUCUUUAGCCCAAGCGUCGAUCUAAUAAACUCUUGUGAUUUCACUGUAUUGAUGUGCAUGUAUGACAUUCUGAGACAUCUUUAACAACUAUCAGGAGAUUUGAAAAUAACUGCAAUUUCUGUCAAUGGCAAAUUCUAUGGUGGUUUAUUGCCUACAUUCAUAAUUGAAGCAAAUGCUAACUUUCAACUGGAGACUGGUGAAAAUAAAGAUGUCAUGCCCCCCCCAAAACCCUCAAAAACCAAAAAACAAAUAUUUCUGUAUCCUUAUGAUUUGCUAGGUCUGGCAUAAACACUAUAUGGCUAGAUUUGUUCAUUUUCAUCCAAAAUGACAAUCUCUGACUUUAACUGGAGAGUAUAUCCCAUUAACAAUUUUUAUUACUGAUUAUGUAAUAAAUACAUGAAUUUCAAAUGUGAAUGUAUUCCUACCUUCUUACAUUUUGCUUUCUAUUUUUCCUGCCAUUUCCUAAAUCUUUUUCUACUUU
Long non-coding RNA from Camelus dromedarius (Arabian camel), 1834 nucleotides. RefSeq lists it as uncharacterized. The transcript is spliced from 3 exons. NCBI's taxonomy places the organism in Eukaryota, Metazoa, Chordata, Mammalia, Artiodactyla, Camelidae. The record is from RefSeq and is a predicted model, not a curated record.